This is a long non-coding RNA of Cyprinus carpio (common carp), 262 nucleotides long. RefSeq lists it as uncharacterized. The transcript is spliced from 4 exons. NCBI's taxonomy places the organism in Eukaryota, Metazoa, Chordata, Actinopteri, Cypriniformes, Cyprinidae. The record is from RefSeq and is a predicted model, not a curated record.
CUGUUGGACAAUUGUUUUGGCUUUAAAGGAGAAAGUCAUCGCUCUGUAAUUGGCACUUGGACUCCCCUGGCAUCUCGUGUACAGCAUGAAGUUUUCAGCUAUGAAGAUUUCAUGAGACUCCAGAAUUAAAAACAAGCCGUGAUGGAUGAGAACCAAGCUCUGAGGGAAAGCACUGCACGAGCAGCUUCGGAUGACAGCGGCUCACUUCAAGAGCAGGUGAAGCAAGUUGGGACAAUGUUGAGACGUUUGCUCGCAUCACUGG